AGCGAACGCUGGCGGCAGGCCUAACACAUGCAAGUCGAGCGCCCGUAGCAAUACGGGAGCGGCAGACGGGUGAGUAACACGUGGGAACGUGCCCUUCAGUUCGGAACAACCCAGGGAAACUUGGGCUAAUACCGGAUACGCCCUUAGGGGGAAAGAUUUAUCGCUGAAGGAUCGGCCCGCGUCUGAUUAGCUAGUUGGUGGGGUAACGGCCCACCAAGGCGACGACGGGUAGCCGGCCUGAGAGGGCGACCGGCCACACUGGGACUGAGACACGGCCCAGACUCCUACGGGAGGCAGCAGUGGGGAAUAUUGCGCAAUGGGCGAAAGCCUGACGCAGCGACGCCGCGUGAGGGAUGAAGGCCUGGUUGUAA
RNAcentral lists this ribosomal RNA (371 nucleotides) under uncultured bacterium. RNAcentral describes it as "bacterial SSU rRNA". It matches the Rfam family "Bacterial small subunit ribosomal RNA", at positions 30 to 428 of the family's 1533-position model. The record is from RNAcentral.